UAUUAUUCAAUCUUGCUUAAACUAAAACAGCUAACAUAUAUAUAUACAUACAAUGCAAUCACGCAUGCAAUAAUUAAAUGUAAAAGGGAAUGGGCAUCCUUGCUGCCCAUGAUGUAACUGACACGUCCAUGUUGUGCAUCCACCAUGUGCAAACCCUUUUUGACAAGGAUUAUGGUAUCCUCAUGCUGCUGUCCAAACUGUCCAGGAAUGUGCAUCCACAUGCUACAUUCCUGCUAUCCACCUUGUACAGAUUGAGUGAUUUCUGCUCCUUUAACACUCCCCCUCAAGUUGGAGCAUGAAUGUUUUGGAUGCCCAACUUGCUGAGAAGAGAAUGAAACGUUGCCUUUCCUAACGCUUUUGUAAAUAUGUCGGCCAACUGAUGCUUUGAAGGUGUGAACCUUGUUGCAAUCAUUCCUGAAUGUAACUUUUCUCGGACCAAGUGACAAUCUAAUUCGAUAUGUUUAGUUCGCUCGUGGAAUACUGGAUUAGCUGCAAUGUGUAAAGCUGCCUUAUUGUCACAGUAAACAUGAGCUGGAGCUGCAUGAGAGACCUGUAAAUCUUGUAACAGAUAACGAAGCCAUGUAAGUUCACAAGUGAUUGCAGCCAUUGAUCUAUAUUCUGCCUCUGCAGAUGAUCGUGAAACCGUAUGUUGUUUUUUAGUCUUCCAGGAGAUGAGUGAUUUUCCCAAAAACACACAAUAACCUGUCACGGACCUUCUAGUCGUUAGACAUGAUGCCCAUGAAGAAUCACAGUAACCACUCAAUUGUAAUGCAUCUGUAGAUGGAAAGAAUAGACCUUGUCCUGGAGUCCCUUUGAGGUAUUUCAAGACUCGUAUAGCAGCUUCAAGAUGAGGCUUGCGUGGUUGGUUCAUGAACUGGCUAAGGUUGUUGACUGAAAAUGUGAUAUCUGGCCUUGUUAUGGUGAGGUAAAUGAGUCGUCCCACGAUCCUUCUAUAUCUGGUUGGAUCCUUCAAUAACUCACCAUCCGUUGGCCUCAACUUCAAAUCUUGUUCCAUGGGAAAAUCCACCGGACAUGCCCCUAAUAGUCCAGCAUCAUCCAGUAUGUCCAAAAUAUAUUUCCUUUGUGAGAUAGAAAUGCCUUGUUGUGAACGAGCCACUUCGAUCCCAAGAAAAUAUUUGAGAGGUCCGAGGUCCUUAAUGCGAAACUGAUGAUGAAGGGAUUGUUUUAAACGUUGAAUAGCCUCAUGAUUGUUCCCUGUAAUGAUCAUGUCAUCAACAUAGAUGAGAACCACUGUAAUGGAAUGCGCAGUAGUGCAGGUGAACAAUGAGUAGUCUGCAGUUGAUUGUUUGAACCCCACGAGUUGAAUGGCUUGAGAAAAUUUUGAAAACCAUUGGCGGGAAGCCUGCUUCAAGCCAUAGAGGGAUUUAUGGAGUCGACAAACCAAGUUCUCCCCCUGUCGACGAAGUCCAGGUGGUGGAGACAUGAAAACUUCUUCGUCCAAAUCACCAUGGAGAAAAGCAUUCUGGACAUCGAGCUGGUGGAGGGGCCAGUGGCGUUGAGCUGCCACGGCUAAUAAACAACGAACAGUGGUAAGUUUGGCCACCGGUGCAAAUGUGUUAGAAUAGUCGAGGCCUUCAAUUUGCGAGUAACCUUUGGCAACCAAACGCGCUUUAUAGCGCUCUAUGGAGCCAUCAGAGCGAUGUUUGAUCUUGUAAACCCACUUGCUGCCGAUAGCACGUUUUCCAGGAGGCAGGGAAGUGAGUGUCCAGGUAUGGUUUUGUUCAAGUGCAGCAAGUUCAGACUGCAUGGCAGCUUGCCAAUGAGGAUCAAGGUGGGCCUGGGCAAAAAAAGUAGGUUCGACGCUACGAGUGAUGGUAUUGAUAAACACUUGGUGAGAUGGUGAUAAAUGAGAAGAAGAGAGAUAAUGAGAGAGUGGAUAGUGAGUACCUGACCGCGAAGAUGACGUGGACUUGGAAGGCGACGUGGUGACCUGUGAACAGUCAUAAUCCUUCAAUAAGACAGAAGGUUGCUUGGGGCGGAGGCCGCGACCAAGGGCAGGUGGUGGUGAGAUAGAGUUGACUGGACGUGGAGAAGGAAGAGGGGAUGGGGGCGACACAGGUGAUUGUGGCGACACAGGUGAAGGAGAAAAAGCGGUUGGACCAGAGAUGGUGGAAGAGGAGGAUUCUUGUGAAAAAAUGGAAGAAUCUGAGAUGGUGUCGGUGAGAGGAAGAGGGACGACGGGCACAACUUCAUCAGGUUGGGUGUCGGGAGGAUGAUGAGCAAAAGGAAAGAUGUGUUCAUGAAAAACCACAUCACGACUAGUAAAAAAUUGAUGAGUGUGAAGAUUGUAGAGACGAUACCCCUUUUGUCCAGAAGGAUAACCAACAAAGAGACAUUUGUGAACCCUGACAUCAAACUUGUGCUUAGGGGAGGUGUGUGUAGCAUAGCAAAGACACCCAAAAACCCGUAAGUGCAUAUAAGUGGAUGGGCGUGUGUUGAGCAUUUCAUAGGGUGUUUUUUUUGAUAAAACGAUGGUGGGUGUGCGAUUGAU
Molecule: long non-coding RNA, 2512 nt
Filed under: Malus domestica (apple)
Lineage: Eukaryota; Viridiplantae; Streptophyta; Magnoliopsida; Rosales; Rosaceae
Description: long non-coding RNA (MDOM_LNC018518)
Source: RNAcentral